AACGAACGCUGGCGGCAGGCUUAACACAUGCAAGUCGAGCGGGCCCUUCGGGGUCAGCGGCGGACGGGUGAGUAACGCGUGGGAACGUGCCCUUCGCUCCGGAAUAGCCCCGGGAAACUGGGAGUAAUGCCGGAUACGCCCUUUCGGAGUGGAUCCGUUGGGGGAAAGAUUUAUCGGGGAAGGAUCGGCCCGCGUCGGAUUAGGUAGUUGGUGGGGUAACGGCCCACCAAGCCGACGAUCCGUAGCUGGUUUGAGAGGAUGAUCAGCCACACUGGGACUGAGACACGGCCCAGACUCCUACGGGAGGCAGCAGUGGGGAAUCUUGGACAAUGGGGGCAACCCUGAUCCAGCCAUGCCGCGUGAGCGAUGAAGGCCUUAGGGUUGUAAAGCUCUUUCAGCGGGGAAGAUAAUGACGGUACCAGCAGAAGAAGCCCCGGCUAACUCCGUGCCAGCCGCCGCAGUAAAAC
Molecule: ribosomal RNA, 467 nt
Filed under: uncultured bacterium
Lineage: Bacteria
Description: bacterial SSU rRNA
Rfam family: Bacterial small subunit ribosomal RNA
Source: RNAcentral